RNAcentral lists this ribosomal RNA (464 nucleotides) under Vreelandella stevensii. RNAcentral describes it as "partial 16S ribosomal RNA". It matches the Rfam family "Bacterial small subunit ribosomal RNA", at positions 338 to 795 of the family's 1533-position model. Lineage: Bacteria; Pseudomonadati; Pseudomonadota; Gammaproteobacteria; Oceanospirillales; Halomonadaceae. The record is from RNAcentral.
CCUACGGGAGGCAGCAGUGGGGAAUAUUGGCAAUGGGGGGAACCCUGAUCCAGCCAUGCCGCGUGUGUGAAGAAGGCCCUCGGGUUGUAAAGCACUUUCAGUGAGGAAGAACGCCUGGUGGUUAAUACCCAUCAGGAAAGACAUCACUCACAGAAGAAGCACCGGCUAACUCCGUGCCAGCAGCCGCGGUAAUACGGAGGGUGCGAGCGUUAAUCGGAAUUACUGGGCGUAAAGCGCGCGUAGGUGGCUUGAUAAGCCGGUUGUGAAAGCCCCGGGCUCAACCUGGGAACGGCAUCCGGAACUGUCAAGCUAGAGUGCAGGAGAGGAAGGUAGAAUUCCUGGUGUAGCGGUGAAAUGCGUAGAGAUCGGGAGGAAUACCAGUGGCGAAGGCGGCCUUCUGGACUGACACUGACACUGAGGUGCGAAAGCGUGGGUAGCAAACAGGAUUAGAUACCCGUGUAGUC